Molecule: ribosomal RNA, 591 nt
Filed under: Trichoderma longibrachiatum
Lineage: Eukaryota; Fungi; Ascomycota; Sordariomycetes; Hypocreales; Hypocreaceae
Description: eukaryotic LSU rRNA
Rfam family: 5.8S ribosomal RNA (bases 224-377)
Source: RNAcentral
ACCGAGUUUACACUCCCAACCCCAAUGUGAACGUUACCAAUCUGUUGCCUCGGCGGGAUUCUCUUGCCCCGGGCGCGUCGCAGCCCCGGAUCCCAUGGCGCCCGCCGGAGGACCAACUCCAAACUCUUUUUUUCUCUCCGUCGCGGCUCCCGUCGCGGCUCUGUUUUAUUUUUGCUCUGAGCCUUUCUCGGCGACCCUAGCGGGCGUCUCGAAAAUGAAUCAAAACUUUCAACAACGGAUCUCUUGGUUCUGGCAUCGAUGAAGAACGCAGCGAAAUGCGAUAAGUAAUGUGAAUUGCAGAAUUCAGUGAAUCAUCGAAUCUUUGAACGCACAUUGCGCCCGCCAGUAUUCUGGCGGGCAUGCCUGUCCGAGCGUCAUUUCAACCCUCGAACCCCUCCGGGGGGUCGGCGUUGGGGAUCGGCCCCUCACCGGGCCGCCCCCGAAAUACAGUGGCGGUCUCGCCGCAGCCUCUCCUGCGCAGUAGUUUGCACACUCGCACCGGGAGCGCGGCGCGGCCACAGCCGUAAAACACCCCAAACUUCUGAAAUGUUGACCUCGGAUCAGGUAGGAAUACCCGCUGAACUUAAGCAU